This 30-nucleotide ribosomal RNA is filed under the name fungal endophyte sp. AP854. RNAcentral describes it as "partial 28S ribosomal RNA". The record is from RNAcentral. Lineage: Eukaryota; Fungi.
GUUGACCUCGGAUCAGGNAGGAAUAAACGC